Molecule: ribosomal RNA, 457 nt
Filed under: uncultured bacterium
Lineage: Bacteria
Description: partial 16S ribosomal RNA
Rfam family: Bacterial small subunit ribosomal RNA
Source: RNAcentral
AUUGAACGCUGGCGGCAUGCUUUACACAUGCAAGUCGAACGGUAACAGGCCGCAAGGUGCUGACGAGUGGCGAACGGGUGAGUAAUGCAUCGGAACGUGCCCAGUCGUGGGGGAUAACUACUCGAAAGAGUAGCUAAUACCGCAUACGAUCUAUGGAUGAAAGGGGGGGACCGUCAGGCCUCGCGCGGUUGGAGUGGCCGGUGUGAGAUUAGGUAGUUGGUGGGGUAAAGCCUUACCAAGACGACGAUCUGCAGCUGGUCUGAGAGGACGACCAGCCACACUUGGGCGGAGCAACAGCGCGGACUCCUGGGCGAGGCAGCAGUGGGGAAUCCAAGACUAUGGGGGGAAGCCUGAUCGAGCCAGGCUGCGUGAGUGAUGAAGGCCUGAGGGAUGCAAAUCUCGUUCAGCUGGGAAGAUAAUGACGGUACCAGCAGAAUAAGCCCCGGCUAACUCCGUG